AACCUACCUUAGUUACUGGGAUAGCCCGAGGAAACUCGGAUUAAUACCGGAUAUUCUUAUUUAAUCACAUGAUUUUUUAAGGAAAGGUCAGCCGAACUAAGAUGGGCUCGCGUUCUAUCAGCUAGUUGGUAGGGUAAUGGCCUACCAAGGCUACGACGGAUAGCUGGUCUGAGAGGACGAUCAGCCACACUGGGACUGAGACACGGCCCAGACUCCUACGGGAGGCUGCAGCAGGGAAUAUUGCGCAAUGAGCGAAAGCUUGACGCAGCGACACCGCGUGUGGGAUGACGGAUCUAGGUUUGUAAACCACUUUCAGGAGGGAAGAAAAUGACGGUACCUCCACAAGAAGCCCCGGCCAACUACGUGCCAGCAGCCGCGGUAAUACGUAGGGGGCGAGCGU
Molecule: ribosomal RNA, 400 nt
Filed under: uncultured bacterium
Lineage: Bacteria
Description: bacterial SSU rRNA
Rfam family: Bacterial small subunit ribosomal RNA
Source: RNAcentral